Molecule: non-coding RNA, 46 nt
Filed under: Schistosoma mattheei
Lineage: Eukaryota; Metazoa; Platyhelminthes; Trematoda; Strigeidida; Schistosomatidae
Source: RNAcentral
GCACUGCUGAUGAGUCCCACAAUAGGACGAAACGGUCGUCCCGUGC